This 497-nucleotide ribosomal RNA is filed under the name uncultured bacterium. RNAcentral's name for it is "partial 16S ribosomal RNA". It matches the Rfam family "Bacterial small subunit ribosomal RNA", at positions 28 to 507 of the family's 1533-position model. The record is from RNAcentral.
GAUGAACGCUGGCGGCGUGCCUAAUACAUGCAAGUCGAGCGGACAGAUGAGGAGCUUGCUCCUCUGACGUUAGCGGCGGACGGGUGAGUAACACGUGGAUAACCUACCUAUAAGACUGGGAUAACUUCGGGAAACCGGAGCUAAUACCGGAUAAUAUAUUGAACCGCAUGGUUCAAUAGUGAAAGACGGUUUUGCUGUCACUUAUAGAUGGAUCCGCGCCGCAUUAGCUAGUUGGUAAGGUAACGGCUUACCAAGGCAACGAUGCGUAGCCGACCUGAGAGGGUGAUCGGCCACACUGGAACUGAGACACGGUCCAGACUCCUACGGGAGGCAGCAGUAGGGAAUCUUCCGCAAUGGGCGAAAGCCUGACGGAGCAACGCCGCGUGAGUGAUGAAGGUCUUCGGAUCGUAAAACUCUGUUAUUAGGGAAGAACAAAUGUGUAAGUAACUAUGCACGUCUUGACAGUACCUAAUCAGAAAGCCACGGCUAACUACGUG